RNAcentral lists this ribosomal RNA (484 nucleotides) under uncultured bacterium. RNAcentral describes it as "bacterial SSU rRNA". It matches the Rfam family "Bacterial small subunit ribosomal RNA", at positions 28 to 507 of the family's 1533-position model. The record is from RNAcentral.
GAUGAACGCUGGCGGCGUGCUUAACACAUGCAAGUCGAACGAAGCACUUUAUUACAAUUUCUUCGGAAUGACGAUUUAGUGACUGAGUGGCGGACGGGUGAGUAACGCGUGGGUAACCUGCCUUAUACAGGGGGAUAACAGUUAGAAAUGACUGCUAAUACCGCAUAAGCGCACAGGAUUGCAUGAUCUGGUGUGAAAAACUCCGGUGGUAUAAGAUGGACCCGCGUCUGAUUAGCUGGUUGGUGAGGUAACGGCCCACCAAGGCGACGAUCAGUAGCCGACCUGAGAGGGUGACCGGCCACAUUGGGACUGAGACACGGCCCAAAACUCCUACGGGAGGCAGCAGUGGGGAAUAUUGCACAAUGGGGAAACCCUGAUGCAGCGACGCCGCGUGAGCGAAGAAGUAUUCGGUAUGUAAAGCGUCUAUCAGCAGGGAAGAAAAAAAUGAACGGUACCUGACUAAGAAGACCCGGCUAACUACGUG